AGUUUACAUUACCACUAGCAGUAUAAAAGUGUUCCCUUUUCACCAAAUGCCCCCCAAUAUUUUUUAUUUUUUGCUGUUUUGAUUAUGGUCAUUCUUGCCAGAGUAAGCUGGCAUAGCAUUGUGAGUUUUUGGUUUUUUUUUUUUGAGAUGGAGUCCGCUCUGUCACCAGGCUGGAGUGCAGUGGUGUAACCUUGGCUCACUGCAACUUCCACCUUCUGGGUUCAAGGGAUUCUCCUGCCUCAGCCUCCCGAGUAGCUGGGACUACAGGUGCCCACCACCACUCCCGGCUAAUUUUUGUAUUUUUAGGACAGAUGGAGUUUCACCAUGUUGGCCAGGGUGGUCUUGAUCUCUUGACCUAGUGAUCUACCCGCCUCAGCCUCCCAAAGUGCUGGGAUUUCAGGUGUGAGCCACCGCUCCCAGCCUGACAUUGUGGUUUUGAUUUGCAUUUCCCUGAUCUUUAGUGAUGAUGAGCAUUUUUUCAUGUUUGUUGGCCAUUUUUUAUAUCUCCUUUUGAGAAUUGUCUAUUCAAGUCCUUAGCCCAUUAUUUGAAGGGAUUGGUUUUUUUCCUGUUAAUUUGAGUACCUUGUAGAUUCUGGUUAUUAGUCCUUUCUCAGACGUAUAGAUUGUGAAGAUUUUCUCCCAUUCCAUGGGUUGUCUGUUUACUCUGCUUAUUGUUUCUUUUGCUGUGCCAAAACGUUUUGGCUUGAUUAAGUCUCACCUUUUAAUCUUCAUUUUGUUGUUGUUGCACUUGCUUUUGGGUUCUUGGUCAUGAAGUCUCUGCCUAAGCCAAUGUGUAGAAGGGGUUUUCCAAUGUUACCUUCUAGAAUUUUUAUGGUUGCAGGUCUCAGAUUUAAGUUGACUUUUGUAUAAGGUAAGAGAUGGGAAUUCAGUUUCAUUUCUUGGGAUAUAGCUUGCCAAUUAUCCAAGCACCAUAUGUUGAGUAGGGUGUUCUUUCCCCACUUUAUAUUGUUUGCUUUGUCAAAGACCAGUUGGCUGUAAGUAUUUGAGUUUACUUCUGGGUUCUCUAUUAUGUUUCAUUGGUCUAUGUGCUUAUUUUUAUACCAGUAUUAUGCUGUUUUGCUGACUAUGGGUUUGUAGUAUAGAUUGAAGUCAGGUAAUGUAAUGCCUCCAGAUUUGUUCUUUCUGCUUAGUCUUGCUUUGGCUAUGUGGGCUCGUUUUUUUUUUCCCAUAUGAAUUUUAGAAUUAUCAGGAGCCACCAGGUGCUGCAGCAGCUUUGGGAUAACUUGAGGGCGCAUCCUGGGGAAGAAACACCUCCUGUCCAUGGUGCUAACUGCUGAGGACAGUGCUUCGGCGUGGCUUCUCCGUGGCCCAGCUUCUUUGGGGCGUUUUUCUUUCAUGGUUCAUCCAUAUGGCUCCAAAUGAAAAUUACAUUAAUUAUGGAUGAAGAGUAUUGUGUUGUGCAGAUAUACUGCAGUUUCUUCAUCCCUUCAUCUAUGGAUGGACAGGUUCCACAGUGUUGCCACGGAUGACCUGAUUUCAGUACCCAUGUCUGGCUGAAGAGUAUCUGGUUGUGACUGGAUACUGCAGUUUCUGGAUCUCAUCCUCUGUGGGUGGACAGGUUUCUCCAUCUUGCUGGUAGUGAACUGAUGUCCGGAAGUUUGAUGGCCGAAGAGUAUACCGUUGUGCAUAUAUCCUUCAAUUCCUGAUUUUAUCAUCUGUAGAAAGACAAAAAUCUUCAGACUGAUUUCCACAGUUUGAGAUCUAGUUUGCAUUACCUCCAAGAGAAUAGCCAUGUUUGCUUUUCUCUGCUGCCACACCAGCAUGUUAUGUUUUGACUUAGGACAAAUGGCCACUCUGACCAGCGUGUGAUGGCACCGGUACCUCAUCUCUGAUGAUUGGUGAUGUUGAGCAUUCCCCACGCCUGUUGGAAUGGCAAUCCCUUGGAAAUGUCUUCUCAAUAGUUACUACCCAUAGUUUGGUUUGUUGCAGGCUUUCACACUACUAAUCUGGGCUGAAUCCUUGAAUUACUUUGUCUACCAAGGGUUUCAAAGAACUUGAUAAACUUGUUCUAAUUAGCCAACAUAUUCAUCCAUGUUGUCCGUAUACCAGGUGUAAAAAUAAAACGUUUCUUAAUGCACACAGGACAUGGAAGGCAAUCUACACAUUUUCAGGUGUAGACUUUGCUUGUGACUCUUUUGUGAGGAAUAGUCAUUGUUACUUUAGGAAAACCCUGAGUUUAUCCAACUCUUGUUAGAAUUGGAUAAGUGUAAAAACCUACAAUAGAAUGCAAGUGUGAGAGCCAAUUCCUCUGGUAAAAUAAACUCAUAUUAUUAUUUAUAUAUGUCUGGUCAUUGUAUUAAUAAAAUCAGUUUGUUUUGGCUGAAACACAUGGUUGGCCUUUACAAUAGAUGUGAAAAUGGGCUUAUAGAUCAUUGCUCUUUAUUGUGAAUAUUAGGUUGUAUUUAUUGCCAAACUCUUUCAACAGCUUCUAAGCAGUGAAUUUUCAGUGCAUUGUUGUUGUUCUCCAAGUACAAGCAGCCACUUCAGUUUUACCACAUUCAUCUUCCACACACUGAUGAACCAUAUGGAGGCAGCAGGAAUUGAAGUAGAACCAGAGGGAGUAGUUAGGACAGACAUUCUGAUUCAUUCAUUCUGAUUCUCACUAUUGUCAGUCAGUAAAGGUUCAUUGAAUUUUUCUUCUGAUGAAUAAAAUGGUCAGUUUUCUCAGUGCAAUGGCUUACUUUUGGAAGAGCAGCUCUAAAGACUUUACUACUGAUUAGUAAAGUCUAAACUGCUUUCUGUAUUUUUUUUUAAAUUCAACUUUUAUUUUAGACUGAAUAAAAAUGUGCAGGUUUAUUGUGUGAUACUGAGUUUUGGGGUACGAUUGAAGCCAUCACUAAGGUAAUGAGCAUCUCACCUUCUCCUUCUGUUCACUCUGUUACAGAGAACAGACCCUCCCAGUCUUCAGUGCACUCUAAAUACUGGCUAAUUCUGGCCAAUGGAAGGCAUCUGUGGAAGAAAAAAGCCUCAGAUCAUGUGCUGUCUGUCUUUAUUCAGUGUGACAUAUUAGGUAAUGGUCACAGACACUCACCAUGGCCCCAGUUUUUAAUAACAUGACCCUGCUUUUGUGUUCCAGUAACUUCUGUUGUUUUCCCAAUCCUAAGUAUGAUAGAAACUUCCUGCUGCUGCUAAUCUCUGGGUUCCAUUUAAAAUCCUUCCAUCACAUGAAUACUAUGCUGUGUUCUAAAUUUUUCCAUAAUUAAAUACUUACAAUUAUUUUUGCCUACUUCUUUUGCCCCUUAGUGAUAUGUUUUAAAAACACUUAUAAUGUGUCACAAUAUAUUUAGCAAAUGUAGGGAAUGACAUUUUUACUUUCGUCAGCAUUUACACUAGCAUUUAUGGAGCGAUGCUAUAUAAAGUAUUUUUAGUAAUUUAAACGUUAUAUAACAGAUAUCCGUUGAUUCCUUUGUUUCUACGUAAAUAAGUAUACUUGAGAUAUUCAGUAAACAGUAUUGAAUACAUGUUUCAUUUGUAUAAUAUAAAAUUAUGAUUAUUCUUUUUAAACAGUACAUCAUAUUUGCUUGUUGGCUUUAUGAUAACUUAGAAAUAAUAUUCUGGAUUAACUGUGUGACUCAUGAGAAGAUUUGUGCAACUAUGUUUCCAAAUUUACUUGAUUUUCAAGACUUACACUAGAACUGUGAGAACAGGGUAAUAAAUAAGCAUAUGUAUUAAUAUCACCUUUGGUCAACUCUUGGGUAGCCCCAACGGUAGUGUAGGAAUUAACGUAAUUUUUCCUACUAAAAGUAUUGGAUUUGUUUUGAGAGACCACAGUUGAAAAUCAUUGACAUACAAAGUUUAAAAAUUGUUAGGUUAAAAAAUUUUAAAUGCAUUUGAAGUGGUUUUAUAGAAAAAUAAUUAUCUAACUUGGUUUAUAUUGACAGGUUGUUUUCUUGGAUAAGAACUAGACGAAGAGAAAGGGAGAUUAGUGAUAAAUGUCCAGGUUUUCAAGUUGAAAAGUAACAAUCAGUGUAUUACAACAGAUGGAUGUGAUGUCAAAUUACAAAUGCUGAAAACGUUAUAUGUAAUCAUGUAGCCAGAGUAAUCAUACAAGGCAAAGAACGGAAAGGCAUCCAAAUAGGAAAGAGGCUGGAAUGCAGUGGCACCAUCUCAGCUCACUGCAACCUCCGCCUCUGGGUUCAAGUGCUGCUCCUGCCUCAGUCUC
RNAcentral lists this long non-coding RNA (4183 nucleotides) under Homo sapiens (human). RNAcentral's name for it is "HSALNT0207591". Lineage: Eukaryota; Metazoa; Chordata; Mammalia; Primates; Hominidae. The record is from RNAcentral.